UAGCUAGUUGGUGAGGUAAAGGCUUACCAAGGCGACGAUCUGUAGCGGGUCUGAGAGGAUGAUCCGCCACACUGGAACUGAGACACGGUCCAGACUCCUACGGGAGGCAGCAGUGGGGAAUUUUGGACAAUGGGGGCAACCCUGAUCCAGCCAUGCCGCGUGAGUGAAGAAGGCCUUCGGGUUGUAAAGCUCUUUCGGCCGGGAAGAAAUCGCAUGGGUCAAUACCCUGUGUGGAUGACGGUACCGGAAUAAGAAGCACCGGCUAACUACGUGCCAGCAGCCGCGGUAAUACGUAGGGUGCGAGCGUUAAUCGGAAUUACUGGGCGUAAAGCGUGCGCAGGCGGUUUUGUAAGACAGGCGUGAAAUCCCCGGGCUUAACCUGGGAACUGCGUUUGUGACUGCAAGGCUAGAGUACGGCAGAGGGGGGUGGAAUUCCACGUGUAGCAGUGAAAUGCGUAGAGAUGUGGAGGAACACCAAUGGCGAAGGCAGCCCCCUGGGUCGAUACUGACGCUCAUGCACGAAAGCGUGGGUAGCAAACAGGAUUAGAUACCCUGGUAGUCCACGCCCUAAACUAUGUCAACUAGGUGUUGGGUGGGUAAAACCAUUUAGUACCGUAGCUAACGCGUGAAGUUGACCGCCUGGGGAGUACGGCCGCAAGGUUAAAACUCAAAGGAAUUGACGGGGACCCGCACAAGCGGUGGAUGAUGUGGAUUAAUUCGAUGCAACGCGAAAAACCUUACCUACCCUUGACAUGCCAGGAACUUGCCAGAGAUGGCUUGGUGCCCGAAAGGGAGCCUGGACACAGGUGCUGCAUGGCUGUCGUCAGCUCGUGUCGUGAGAUGUUGGGUUAAGUCCCGCAACGAGCGCAACCCUUGUCGUUAAUUGCCAUCAUUUGGUUGGGCACUUUAACGAGACUGCCGGUGACAAACCGGAGGAAGGUGGGGAUGACGUCAAGUCCUCAUGGCCCUUAUGGGUAGGGCUUCACACGUCAUACAAUGGUCGGUACAAAGGGUUGCCAAGCCGCGAGGCGGAGCCAAUCCCAGAAAGCCGAUCGUAGUCCGGAUUGCAGGCUGCAACUCGCCUGCAUGAAGUCGGAAUCGCUAGUAAUCGUGGAUCAGCAUGUCACGGUGAAUACGUUCCCGGGUCUUGUACACACCGCCCGUCACACCAUGGGAGCGGGUUCCGCCAGAAGUAGGUAGCCUAACCGCAAGGGGGGCGCUUACCACGGCGGGGUUCGUGACUGGGGUGAAGUCGAAACAAGGUAGCCGUAGGGGAACCUGCGGCUG
Molecule: ribosomal RNA, 1287 nt
Filed under: metagenome
Description: bacterial SSU rRNA
Rfam family: Bacterial small subunit ribosomal RNA
Source: RNAcentral